CCUACGGGAGGCAGCAGUCGAGAAUCAUUCACAAUGGGGGAAACCCUGAUGGUGCGACGCCGCGUGGGGGAAUGAAGGUCUUCGGAUUGUAAACCCCUGUCAUGUGGGAGCAAAGUAAAAAGAUAGUACCACAAGAGGAAGAGACGGCGAACUCUGUGCCAGCAGCCGCGGUAAGACAGAGGGCUCAAGCGUUGUUCGGAAGCACUGGGCGUAAAGCGUGCGGAGGCUGUUUCGUAAGUCGUGUGUGAAAGGCGCGGGCUCCACCCGCGGACGGCACAUGAUACUGCGAGACUAGAGUAAUGGAGGGGGAACCGGCAUUCUCGGUGUCGCCGU
RNAcentral lists this ribosomal RNA (333 nucleotides) under uncultured bacterium. Its description in RNAcentral is "partial 16S ribosomal RNA". It matches the Rfam family "Bacterial small subunit ribosomal RNA", at positions 338 to 682 of the family's 1533-position model. The record is from RNAcentral.